AAUUAUCCCCAAAUCAAUAUUUCCGCCGGCACUUGGAACAUCUCCCCCGUAUUCAUUUCAGAAAGGGUAUGGAAGUUUCUCCAUUGCUAUCCAUGAAGGCAGAUACGAAUAUAAAACCAUAGAAGAAAUUUGAACUGAAGAGAAACUCAUGUUGAUUAAUAUCCGAUGUAGAACUUAGAGAAUGAAGAAACGAAACAUUGGGGGUUGAAAACGGGAAAAAUUUCGGUAAGAAAUUCUCUAAAUCCUUGUUAAUCUCAAUUUUUUUAACCGGACAUAUAUUAGUUGGAAGAUAAUUUUACCUGAUUAUUUUUGGCAAUGUUGUCUUUGAAGAUGUUAGUGAAAACCGAAGUGGUAGUAAGGAAUAACUUGAAAUACUUUAAGACUGGACACACAAUCAGAUACCUUUCAAUCUGCUUGAAAUUUUGAAUUUCAUACUGUGUGAGUAUUUGUUUGAAUCAGGUUCCUUCCAAAUUAGAUUGAUGUGGUAAUUGUACAGAUAUAAGAUUACGAUUUCACUUAAAAAUUUCAGAUUUUGGGUGUAUAAGAAUGCAAUGUAUGGAGGAAAAAUCUUGAAAUGGAUUAAUAACAAUUUGUCCUAUUAUGCUUUUUUAAAAUACAAAGUGAUAUUGAUGGAAAUGCCCCUGCACUGUUUGCAGGAACCAUUUCUGUUAUCUUAUUAUACCACAGGUUGAAACAGACACAUGCAUUUGAAUCACCACAUUGACUAUUUUGAAAAACAUUACACCAAACCUGAUAAUAUUAAUAGUUGACAUGAAAUAUGGAAAAAAUAUUGUGUUUUAGUAGAAUGUGAUUUCAAAUACAAUGCCCAUAUACAUAAUGGACAAUUAUGCCCCUGGCCAUAAACAAAUGUCGUUCCUAGUUUGAUUUCAGUUACAUCUGCCUCUGCCCUUAUUUGGUUAGAUGCAAGAGAAAGCAAUAUAUUUUACAGACUAAAAUCUGUUUACAACCAAAUAGAUUAGUUGAUAGUUCCAAGAAAUGAUGAUACUUGAGGAUGAGCAACACAAACAUAGAAAGAUAUUAGUUUAGUCUAAUUCAUUAAGCUAUGAGGAUAAAUCCACUUCUUCAGAAAUAGAGAAAAAGAAAUUUAAGAUAAAAGGACGAAAAUGACCUUUACCCAGAUUCUCUGUAUUGUACAUUUUCUUUUGGUUGUAAUACACAAAUUAUAAAAAAUAAAAUAAAAAAAUGAUGCUCCAAAUGGAAUGAACAACAUGACAUAAAUGAUUAUUUAUCAACUUUUAUACAAAUUACAAAUGCAACUGGAUAUUUAAUGCAUUUGUAACCAAAACAUUAGACAAAUCAAAAAAUGGCAGGAAGAGAAAUCACUAUAACAUUUAACAUCUUCCGUAUAUUAUGAGUCCUCCAUACGACAAUAUAAGUCAAAAUUGUUAUCUUUUAUUAUUUUUUGUUAGUGAUUCUUAAAAAUGUGAAUAAAUAAUAAGGAACUUCAAAAUUUUCAUUGAGCAAAAAAUCUGGUGUGCCUUAGAUUAAUCAUAAUCUGGUCUAAAUAUUCUUUUGGGAUGAUUACUACGGGCAAGAUAUGAGAAUUAGAUUUAUCAUUUACAUAAUUGUAAUCUACAUCAUCUAGAAUUUAUGAUGAUUUAGGCAUUUAGGGUUAUGCAUAUAUGACGAAUUCAAUGUGAAGGCAAAAUUGUCAUACUUUUUUUAAUAUGUUAAAAUUAGGCCAUUUCAACAGAGAUUUACUUAACCAACCUCGUUUAAUGCCUUUUCUUGUAGCUAUUUAACUGAAAAAAAAAUACAAAAUUAUAUAAAUUUGAUGAAAAGUAUAAAUAUGAUACAAAUUACCUUAUGUAGGUUUUUUUGGUGAAUGAAAACGCAGACAGAUGAACAGAAACACACAUAAAAGAGAUCGACCACAACACACGCUCAUACACAAUAAGUGUUAAAGUAAAGUGCUUUAAAUCGGAUGACUUUAAAUGUAAGGUGCUACAAAAUAGAGUUGUUCGUUUUAUUUUCAGAAAAAAAAAAAAAAAAACAAUUGAUUCUGAACAGGAACAUAAAUCCAUAAUCACACAUAACAAGCGAGACACAUAUAGCGUAUACAAAUACAUAUAGGAUAACAGGAGGAGAAGAACUGUAAGAGAAGAACAAUACUUAGUGUAACAGAAGAAGAAGUAUAAAGGAGAACGAUUUACCAGGGUUGCAGAGAAGAAGCGUACAGAGGAACCAAAAUUUGAAAGAUGCAACGGUCAGAAAGCUUUUUAGAUCUUGGAUUUAUAUAAAUGAUAAUAUAUGAAACAUUAUUUCAUUCCUAUUAUAAUGGAGAUAUAAUGGGUAAAAGAUAUAGAAUUUCAAAACGAUUGGUAUAUUAUGGUAACCGAGUUGCUAAUUAGUAGGAGUUGAUAAUUCUAUUGUUUAUGACUUUAAAUUAAAUUGAUUUUAUUGUGAUUGUAUUUU
Molecule: long non-coding RNA, 2436 nt
Filed under: Lactuca sativa (garden lettuce)
Lineage: Eukaryota; Viridiplantae; Streptophyta; Magnoliopsida; Asterales; Asteraceae
Description: long non-coding RNA (LSAT_LNC007265)
Source: RNAcentral